Molecule: ribosomal RNA, 253 nt
Filed under: uncultured bacterium
Lineage: Bacteria
Description: partial 16S ribosomal RNA
Rfam family: Bacterial small subunit ribosomal RNA
Source: RNAcentral
UACGUAGGGGGCGAGCGUUGUCCGGAAUUAUUGGGCGUAAAGAGCUCGUAGGCGGUUUGUCGCGUCGGCUGUGAAAACCUGGGGCUCAACCCCGGGCCUGCAGCCGAUACGGGCAAACUAGAAUUCGGUAGGGGAGACUGGAAUUCCUGGUGUAGCGGUGAAAUGCGCAGAUAUCAGGAGGAACACCGGUGGCGAAGGCGGGUCUCUGGGCCGAUAUUGACGCUGAGGAGCGAAAGCGUGGGGAGCGAACAGG